GCACUAUAAGACAUAGCGUGGAUGCAGUUUGCUUUCAUCAGAUCUUUAGCCUUGACGUCUCCAGGUACUAAUACUGUACCGAGACAAUGAAGUUCAUGGAUCUGGUGGUCGCAUUAUUUUUGAUGUGCUGUGGAUCGUAUAGUUUUCUUCAGCUAUCACAAAAACGUAAUGCGCUACAAAUGCUGACACGAGAUAUAAGGGAGCUGUUGAAGUCUUCUGGCAGCCGUAAAUGCUUUCCUAUUCUCCUUAUCGAUGGUGCAGAUAAG
Molecule: long non-coding RNA, 266 nt
Organism: Scylla paramamosain (green mud crab)
Lineage: Eukaryota; Metazoa; Arthropoda; Malacostraca; Decapoda; Portunidae
Exons: 3
Source: RefSeq, a predicted model, not a curated record